UCCAGUCGCGGAUACGGCGUGCGAUGGU
Molecule: small RNA, 28 nt
Filed under: Bombyx mori (domestic silkworm)
Lineage: Eukaryota; Metazoa; Arthropoda; Insecta; Lepidoptera; Bombycidae
Description: ovarian small RNA-7199
Source: RNAcentral